Meriones unguiculatus (Mongolian gerbil) is the source of this 745-nucleotide long non-coding RNA. RefSeq lists it as uncharacterized. The transcript is spliced from 3 exons. NCBI's taxonomy places the organism in Eukaryota, Metazoa, Chordata, Mammalia, Rodentia, Muridae. The record is from RefSeq and is a predicted model, not a curated record.
UCAAACGGCUCCAAAAUGCGCCCCCAAGGACAGCUGUUGCCUGGCUCCUGUCACAAGAAGUCACAGUAAAGUCUGAGCAACCUCCCAUGAGCCAAACAGAGUCAACUUUAAAACUCCAAGCCUGCCUCACUGGCAAAGGCCCAGGUUUUCUCUGAGACAUCUUUACCAACCCAAAGGCCACACAGACAGCUAGGGGACGUUAAUCCCCUCAGGAGAUCCUGUCUUACCUCAGAAGGUGUUGAAUCUCAAGCGGACAGCUGGAGAGAAAGAAGAGGUCCUGCCCUUCCUUUCGGAACACUUGGGCACUGAGCCAGCACAGCUCUGACUGGCGGUUCCCCGUUGGAGGAGGCCAGCACCAUGGCCAGCAGAGAGCUCAUCGUGGAAGGAAAAGCAUGGUGGCACUGGCUGACUUUGUGGCAGGAAUGUGGCAGCAGUUACACUGGCAACCGGCAAGCUGAGAACAUUUUUCUUUUAAUAUAAGUGUCAAGUUACCUGUCACUUUGGUUUUCGUUGUUGUUAUUGUUUGUUUUUCUGAGACAGGGUUUCUCUGUACCCUCGGCUGUCCUGGACUCACUUUGUAGACCAUGCUGGCCUUGAACUCACAGAGAUCCACCUGCCUCUGCCUCCCAAGUGCUGGGAUUAAAGGCAUGUGCCACCACUGCCUGGUGACAUUUCUUUUUUUUCUUUAUUUUUUAUUAAUUAUUUUUUACAAUUUAUUCACUUUGAAUCCCAGCUGUGGCCCCCU